CCAAUAGCGUAUAUUAAAGUUGUUGCAGUUAAAAAGCUCGUAGUUGAAUUUCAGGCCUGGCUGGACGGUCCGCCCUUCGGGUGAGUACUGUCUGUGGUCGGGUCCUACCUUCUGGCGAAGCGUCAUGGCCUUAACCGGCCGUGGCGGGGAACCAGGACUUUUACUGUGAAAAAAUUAGAGUGUUUAAAGCAGGCUUACGCUUGAAUACAUUAGCAUGGAAUAAUGAAAUAGGACGUUUGAUUCUAUUUUGUUGGUUUCUAGGAUCGACGUAAUGAUUAAUAGGGAUAGUUGGGGGCAUUAGUAUUCAAUUGUCAGAGGUGAAAUUCUUGGAUUUAUUGAAGACUAACUACUGCGAAAGCAUUUGCCAAGGAUGUUUUCAUUAAUCAAGAACGAAAGUUAGGGGAUCGAAGACGAUCAGAUACCGUCGUAGUCUUAACCAUAAACUAUGCCGACUAGGGAUCGGAUGAUGUUAAUUUUAUAAUGACUCAUUCGGCGCCUUACG
Molecule: ribosomal RNA, 502 nt
Filed under: uncultured Glomeromycotina
Lineage: Eukaryota; Fungi; Glomeromycota
Description: partial small subunit ribosomal RNA
Rfam family: Eukaryotic small subunit ribosomal RNA
Source: RNAcentral